AGGCAUGCAAGUCGAACGGUAGAUAUCCUUCGGGAUGUUGAGAGUGGCGAACGGGUGAGUAACACGUAGAUGAUCUACCCUCAAAUGGGGGACAACCCAGGGAAACUUGGGCUAAUACCGCAUGAGUGCAGCGCAUAAAGCAUUCUUUAGGGUGGGUUGUUUUAUGCGUUGCAUAAAAGGUGGCCUUCGGGCUGUCGUUUGAGGAUGAGUCUGCGUCCUAUUAGUUAGUUGGUGAGGUAAUGGCUCACCAAGGCGAUGAUAGGUAGGCGGCCUUAACGGGUGGCCGCCCACACUGGGAUUGAGAUACGGCCCAGACUCCUACGGGAGGCAGCAGUCGAGAAUAGUCUACAAUGGACGAAAGUCUGAUAGUGCGACGCCGCGUGAACGAAGAAUCCCUUCGGGGUGUAAAGUUCUUUUAUUAAUGUGAGCAAUGCUUUUUAUGUGAAUAGCAUGAGAAGAGAGAUAUUAGCAUAUGAAUAAGCAACGGCUAACUCCGUGCCAGCAGCAGC
RNAcentral lists this ribosomal RNA (509 nucleotides) under uncultured bacterium. RNAcentral describes it as "bacterial SSU rRNA". It matches the Rfam family "Bacterial small subunit ribosomal RNA", at positions 51 to 518 of the family's 1533-position model. The record is from RNAcentral.